Molecule: small nuclear RNA, 101 nt
Filed under: Phycomyces blakesleeanus NRRL 1555(-)
Lineage: Eukaryota; Fungi; Mucoromycota; Mucoromycetes; Mucorales; Phycomycetaceae
Source: RNAcentral
GCUUGCACCUCUGUCACAUAUUAAAAUUGGAACGAUACAGAGAAGAUUAGCAUGGCCCCUGCACAGUUGAUGCGAUUUAGUGGAAAAUGUAUGUGGAAAAU